GGAAUAUUGGACAAUGGGGGGAACCCUGAUCCAGCCAUGCCGCGUGUGUGAAGAAGGCCUUUUGGUUGUAAAGCACUUUAAGCGAGGAGGAGGCUACUCUAGUUAAUACCUAGAGAUAGUGGACGUUACUCGCAGAAUAAGCACCGGCUAACUCUGUGCCAGCAGCCGCGGUAAUACAGAGGGUGCGAGCGUUAAUCGGAUUUACUGGGCGUAAAGCGUGCGUAGGUGGCCAAUUAAGUCAAAUGUGAAAUCCCCGAGCUUAACUUGGGAAUUGCAUUCGAUACUGGUUGGCUAGAGUAUGGGAGAGGAUGGUAGAAUUCCAGGUGUAGCGGUGAAAUGCGUAGAGAUCUGGAGGAAUACCGAUGGCGAAGGCAGCCAUCUGGCCUAAUACUGACACUGAGGUACGAAAGCAUGGGGAGCAAACAGGAUUAGAUACCCUAG
This 441-nucleotide ribosomal RNA is filed under the name uncultured Acinetobacter sp. Its description in RNAcentral is "bacterial SSU rRNA". It matches the Rfam family "Bacterial small subunit ribosomal RNA", at positions 358 to 790 of the family's 1533-position model. The record is from RNAcentral. Lineage: Bacteria; Pseudomonadati; Pseudomonadota; Gammaproteobacteria; Moraxellales; Moraxellaceae.